ACCCCCGUAGCUCAGUUGGAUAGAGCAUUCGCCUCCUAAGCGAAGGGCCACAGGUUCGAAUCCUGUCGGGGGUACCA
Molecule: transfer RNA, 77 nt
Filed under: Fidelibacterota bacterium
Lineage: Bacteria; Pseudomonadati; Fidelibacterota
Description: tRNA-Arg
Rfam family: tRNA
About the family: Transfer RNA (tRNA) molecules are approximately 80 nucleotides in length.
Source: RNAcentral